Long non-coding RNA from Drosophila biarmipes, 403 nucleotides. RefSeq lists it as uncharacterized. The transcript has 3 exons. Lineage: Eukaryota; Metazoa; Arthropoda; Insecta; Diptera; Drosophilidae. The record is from RefSeq and is a predicted model, not a curated record.
CUUGCUCUUUUAAUAUUGGUAUCUCUUUCUUUGUGUUCACUCUCUGGCUAUAAAAUUCUUCUUUCCCACAUCUCCGAUUGAGUGGUGCUCAUUAAGAGCGGUGUGUUCAAUGGAGGCGGACGUCGCGGACGCAAUGUUCUUUAGAAAAAGGUAAGUUGGCUAAUUCUUGUUAAUUCUUGCCUUGCCAUACAGCAUGCCUGUUUUAUUUGUUGUAACUGUAUGUAAAAGAAAAUAUACGUACCUCUAUCUAAUGUCUUGCACCUAUUUUUUCACAGGUAAACGACUCUUAAGAAAAGUAGAAACACAAGGAUCAAAAUUAAAUUCAGAACGAACCAUCGAAGGAGUAGUGGCGAACAUACACAAGGACCAACAUUUAAUUUAGGUAAACGAGUCACACGAGGAG